GGUGGCUCAGUGGUGGAGUGUUUGCCUUACAUGCACAAGGCCCUGGGUUCGAUUCCUCAGCACCA
This 65-nucleotide transfer RNA is filed under the name Dipodomys ordii (Ord's kangaroo rat). It matches the Rfam family "tRNA". From Rfam's summary of the family: Transfer RNA (tRNA) molecules are approximately 80 nucleotides in length. Their secondary structure includes four short double-helical elements and three loops (D, anti-codon, and T loops). Lineage: Eukaryota; Metazoa; Chordata; Mammalia; Rodentia; Heteromyidae. The record is from Rfam by way of RNAcentral.